UCCGUAGGCGGUUUAAUAAGUCAGUGGUGAAAUCUGGUCGCUCAACGAUCAAACGGCCAUUGAUACUGUUAGACUUGAAUUAUAAGGAAGUAACUAGAAUAUGUAGUGUAGCGGUGAAAUGCUUAGAUAUUACAUGGAAUACCAAUUGCGAAGGCAGGUUACUACUUAUGGAUUGACGCUGAUGGACGAAAGCGUGGGGAGCGAACAGGAUUAGAUACCCUGGUAGUCCACGCCGUAAACGAUGGAUACUAGCUGUUGGAAGCAAUUUCAGUGGCUAAGCGAAAGUGAUAAGUAUCCCACCUGGGGAGUACGUUCGCAAGAAUGAA
This 326-nucleotide ribosomal RNA is filed under the name uncultured Bacteroidota bacterium. RNAcentral's name for it is "bacterial SSU rRNA". It matches the Rfam family "Bacterial small subunit ribosomal RNA", at positions 568 to 898 of the family's 1533-position model. The record is from RNAcentral. Lineage: Bacteria; Pseudomonadati; Bacteroidota.